This is a non-coding RNA of Anas platyrhynchos (mallard), 952 nucleotides long. Lineage: Eukaryota; Metazoa; Chordata; Aves; Anseriformes; Anatidae. The record is from RefSeq and is a predicted model, not a curated record.
GCGCCGGGUACAGCGCCUCGGGAGGCGGCCCCGGCGGCCCGGGCGGCGCCGCGGGAGCCUGGUAGCCGGGCUCCCUGCGCGGCCGGGGGAAGUACUCGGGCAGCGGCGGGCCCGGGUGCGCGGCGGCGUGCAGCACAUCUAUGGAACUCUUUAACUGGUGUAAUAGAUAAGUUUCUCUAUUUACUCUGCAUGGAGAGGAAAUGCGGUUACACACACGCACCCAGAGAGAGAGCCGCAACUGUGCAGCAGCACCCAUUUGACGGAAAGGCGACAUUGUUUUAUUAAUAAACAAGCAAACAAACAAACAAGCAAGCGAAAGCAACACGGCGACUCAUACUGUACAAGACUAAAGCUCCCACCUACGUUACUGUAAAAAAUGAAAGAUUGUCAGCGACCCCCGCGAGCAGAGAGCAGUUUCCCGGCGUCCAGGAGAUGCAUGCACGCACACAGACACACACGUACAAAUACCUGCUGGCCAGCACCAGAUGAAUUACACUGGAUUACCGUACCCAUUAUCCUCGGCAUAAGGGACAAGUCCUGAGACACUAUGGCUAGAACACUACAGCAGAUACCGUGCUCCCGAGCCACGGUAAAACACAACGAAAACUGGUGUCCUGAUUUGUAGGCUGAGCGCUCUAUUCGGAGAGCUGACCGCGUUCUGCUUCCUAUUAUUUACCGUGAUUAGAUCUCAAAGUAUACUUGUUUCACUGCACCUCUUUCUACUGUGUAUCUCUGGCGCUCGGUUAAACGGAGAAGGAUGCGAUUUUGUAUACGACUGUAAAUCUGCAAGGUGACCUGAGCUGCGCGGCUGCAGUCUGUUUUUUCGUGUGGUUCUAUUAGUCUGCGAAGAUGUGCUGAGGCAGGACCUCCAAAAGGCCUGUUCCAUGUCUUUGUGGUUUUGUUAUCAUAAACAAGAACCCAGCCAAGACCACCAAGUGUUAUCUUGCACACG